AACGCAUAUUGCGCCCUUUGGCAUUCCGAAGGGCAUACCUGUUCGAGCGUCAUUACACCCCUCAAAGAUGACUCUUUGGCGUUGGGCAAUGCCUAAAGGCAUGCCUCAAAAUCAGCGAUGGUGAUAUUCAACCACAGGCGCACACACGUCGUCUAGCUGGCGGGAUGUUGACAGUCAAUUGAUGAAUUUCUAAAUGUUGACCUCGGAUCAGGUAGGAAUACCCGCUGAACUUAA
RNAcentral lists this unclassified non-coding RNA (234 nucleotides) under Sclerococcum sp. RNAcentral describes it as "partial contains 5.8S ribosomal RNA, internal transcribed spacer 2, and large subunit ribosomal RNA". The record is from RNAcentral. Lineage: Eukaryota; Fungi; Ascomycota; Eurotiomycetes; Sclerococcales; Dactylosporaceae. RNAcentral also lists the same sequence under 1 other name.